This 231-nucleotide unclassified non-coding RNA is filed under the name plant metagenome. RNAcentral describes it as "partial contains small subunit ribosomal RNA, internal transcribed spacer 1, and 5.8S ribosomal RNA". The record is from RNAcentral.
UCUCCGUUGGUGAACCAGCGGAGGGAUCAUUACUGAGUUACCGCUCUACAACCCUUUGUGAACAUACCUAACUGUUGCUUCGGCGGGCAGAGGUCCCUCGCGGAUCUCUCCCGGCAACGCCCUCACGGGCGGAGCGCCCGCCGGUGGAUACCAAACUCUAUUUUAACGACGUUUCUUCUGAGUGGCACAAGCAAAUAAUUAAAACUUUUAACAACGGAUCUCUUGGUUCUG